This 1716-nucleotide ribosomal RNA is filed under the name Triticum aestivum (bread wheat). Its description in RNAcentral is "partial small subunit ribosomal RNA". The record is from RNAcentral. Lineage: Eukaryota; Viridiplantae; Streptophyta; Magnoliopsida; Poales; Poaceae.
AUGAGGAAGAUGGUUGAGAAGAUUGCAGUGAACAUAUCUCCUGGGGAGAUUUCCUACCACGGGGGAGCGGUUCGGCCCGAGCUCUUUUUUAGCAAGCCGAUUGAACUCCGUGCGAAAGAUACAUGCUCCCUAAAUCCCCCCAAACAAGCAACAGCCCCUAAAAGAGCAAGCAUACCAUCCACACCAAUGCUACGGUGUAAUUACACAAGGACUGGCCCACAAGAUUUUUCAAAUUACAUCCGCACAAAAUACCCGAGCAUAUCAGCAGAGAAGCUGGGUAUUCUUCUUCGCGAGCAGAAUGCACGUGGUAUCGCUAAUAUAAUAGAAAUGCGCCAAGCAUUCCAGACAAACAUGUUCACUCUCACAGACAAGCUUAUGGCCUGUCUAGCAGCAAGUUGUACCUGCUGCAAGGCAUUCGGCCGCAAAUCUUGCAUUUUGAAUGGUGAAGGCACAACCAACUGUCAACCACAUCCUACAACAUCAACAGACCAAAACCAAUUCAGCACUCCUUUAGUAAGCAAGGUUGGGCCAUGCUUGCCUGCACCAGGCCACCAUGAAGGAGCCAUGUCAGCUACCAGCACAGCAUCUAGAAAAAGGGAAGGAAGUAUAUCAUCUAGUGUGCACUCUGGGUUAGCAAAGAAGCAAUGCUCACGCGAUGAGAUUGACAAGCAAACCCAGAUGGCCAUAGCACAGGAUUCGUCGGUUAUGGAGAUUGCUAGCACGAUUGCCAGUAUGUAUGAUGAUCUAACGGCCAUUCUUGUAACAUAUUAUGCUGAGAUCCGGCCAUCUCCUGAGUGCAUCUUGUUUGGAUCAACUACGGAAGGCGCACCUUUGCAAAUUGACCUUCCUAAAUGCAAUUUCGGCAGAGACCCAUGGGUUGUUGGUACAGUAAAUGCACCACCACCCGAGAACAAUCUCGGAGCUAUAAGAGACUGGAUGGCAGCAGCUUCUACCUUAAAUCUUCAGAGGCCAUGGGUUGUACACCCCAAACCUCGUUUCAUCUCAGUGGAUGGCAUAGAUAUUCAGCAACAGCUUGUGGCACACGAGAAAAUGUCCCAUGAAAUUUGUACUUCCAUCUUCCGUAGGCUUGCCCAACUUGACAUGUCCUUCUCAAAAGACACUCCUGGUAUGAUAUGGAGGAAAUACAUCGAGCCCAAUUUUGCGACAACUGUUCUGUCCAAUGCCGACCCACUAACUGUGCACUCCAUCAGGGCUAGCUUCCAGGAGGGAACCGCCUCUUGCAACCCAGCAUCAUGCCGCAUGUGGAUUAUUCCAGCUAUUCUCCCAGAUGGCUGGGUGGUUUAUGCAUUUGACAUGCUGCGCAAGCGAAUCGUCGUUUAUGACCCUGCAGUUGGCCCAUUCGGAUACAGUAAUCGCCGAGUCAGCAUCCAUGAAUUUGUGAGCAACAAACUUCAUGCUGCUCUGUUCAACUGCCUCUACAGUUUUUUCAGUUCAGGGCAUUGUGAAUCAACUCACUGGACACGUACAUUUCCAAUCAUAAUGAGAGAACAAUUUCACAAGGACGAAGCCGGAUUGUGUGCCACUUUUUUUUCAAGGAACUACGACGGUGACAAGUUGCAAAUCCCACUCACGAAAGAAACACUCGUAUCGCACAACAACCUCAUGUUGUACGAGCUGAUGAGGAUGCAAGGAAAUCAAACAAAAGCUGCCAGCGACUCGCUCGAAGCAAUUAAAGGGCCGUUUGUCAUUCUGUAG